Molecule: ribosomal RNA, 217 nt
Filed under: uncultured prokaryote
Description: partial 16S ribosomal RNA
Rfam family: Bacterial small subunit ribosomal RNA
Source: RNAcentral
UACGGAGGGGGCCAGCGUUGCUCGGAAUUAUUGGGCGUAAAGGGCGCGUAGGCGGCCAGGUAAGUUUGAUGUGAAAUCCCACGGCUUAACCGUGGAAUUGCAUCUUAUACUGCCUGGCUAGAGUCUGGGAGAGGGAAGUGGAAUUCCCGGUGUAGCGGUGAAAUGCGUAGAUAUCGAGAGGAACACCUGCGGCGAAGGCGGGUUGCUGGGCUGACAC